This is a non-coding RNA of Paramuricea clavata, 676 nucleotides long. The record is from the annotation of a GenBank genome assembly. NCBI's taxonomy places the organism in Eukaryota, Metazoa, Cnidaria, Anthozoa, Malacalcyonacea, Plexauridae.
UUUUAAGGAUUUUCCCGUGGGGGGGGGGGCAUUUUUUGAAAAGGGACCUUUCUGUGAGAUAAUAUUUUAGAGGGGGAUAGCAAUGGCUGAAAGCCACGUGUGUGGCAAAUAUACCACGCAUGAAUGGGGGGGGGGUCUGGGGGUGUACUCCCCCAGAACAUUUUUGAAAUUUGACUCCCGGAAAUGUCAUUUCCUGCAUUCUGAGCAUCCAAAUUUGCUCUAAAAUCUAUGCUAACUAUAGUUGUAUUUGAAAUAAAAGAUGGAAAAAUGCACAAAAUUAAAAGUAAAAAAGAAUAUUAACUGUAAUUUAUCAUUACUUAUUAGAGGGAUAAUCCCAAGAAAAUUUUUGAAAUUUGAAACCGUGAAAUGCUAUUUCCUGCAUUCUGAGCAUCCAAAAAAUAAAAAAAAUAUUAACAAUAAUUUAUCAUUACUUAGUGGUAAAAAAAGUAACACUUUAAAUCGAUUUUGUUAAACAAGAACAAAGGAUAAAGCCUAAAACUUACUUUCCGUUUAUCUAUUUGUUAAUCUUCGCUGGAUUGUUUAUAUAAUUUUAGGAAAAAGGGACUUUUCCUGGGGGGGGGGCAAAAUGUGAUUUCGUGGAGGGGGCACAAGGGGGGACUGGGGGGCAAAUGCCCCCCAGCUUGUAUGUUAAAGAAAGGCCCUGUUUUCGACUAGC